GACGAACGCUGGCGGCGUGCUUAACACAUGCAAGUCGAACGGAAAGGCCCUGCUUUGGUGGGGUGCUCGAGUGGCGAACGGGUGAGUAACACGUGAGUAACCUGCCCUUGACGUUGGGAUAACUUCAGGAAACUGGGGCUAAUACCGGAUAGGAGCUCCUGCGGCAUGGUGGGGGUUGGAAAGUUUCGGCGGUUGGGGAUGGACUCGCGGCUUAUCAGCUUGUUGGUGGGGUAGUGGCUUACCAAGGCUUUGACGGGUAGCCGGCCUGAGAGGGUGACCGGCCACACUGGGCCUGAGAUACGGCCCAGACUCCUACGGGAGGCAGCAGUGGGGAAUAUUGCCCAAUGGGCGGAAGCCUGAUGCAGCAACGCCGCGUGCGGGAUGACGGCCUUCGGGUCGUAAACCGCUUUCGCCUGUGACGAAGCGUGAGUGACGGUAAUGGGUAAAGAAGCACCGGCUAACUACGUG
RNAcentral lists this ribosomal RNA (468 nucleotides) under uncultured bacterium. Its description in RNAcentral is "partial 16S ribosomal RNA". It matches the Rfam family "Bacterial small subunit ribosomal RNA", at positions 28 to 507 of the family's 1533-position model. The record is from RNAcentral.